GAGAGCCGUGUGAUGGAAGACUAUCAAGCACGGUUCCACGAGAAGGGCUAAUCCUUUACUCGAC
Molecule: non-coding RNA, 64 nt
Organism: Marchantia polymorpha subsp. polymorpha
Lineage: Eukaryota; Viridiplantae; Streptophyta; Marchantiopsida; Marchantiales; Marchantiaceae
Source: Rfam